UUUGUAGUGGCUGUUUUAAAGAAACCGAACCAUGUGUUAGUUUUUCCUGGCUCAUAGACUACUUUCAGGGUGAGGAACCAUCUAACAUUACAUUAUAAAAUAAUAAACUUCCCCUUUAAUACAGUAUGUCCCCUCUGCCCUCCUAUUCCAGGUGAGAAGCCCCAUGUGUGCCUGGUGUGUGGCAAAGCCUUCAACCAGAGCUCCAACCUCACCCACAGCCGUCAGCACAGUGGCAACCAGCCCUACCACUGCCGCCUCUACGGCUUCCAGCGCAAACUGGACCUGAGACAGCGCAUAUACCUUCAGGCUAAGACCCUGAUACCAGCUGAUCUGAGAUCAGUUUUAAUAAGCAAGAGAACCACUCCACAUAGAUAGCAACUCAGAGACUCUCACAUGGUCACAGCUGACCCCAGCAAAUGUUUUAAUUUUUAGUCUGAUCAUUGUUUUAUUAUUUUAGGUGAUCAAACUCUCUUGAUUGUCUGUGAUUUACUUGUCAGGCGUAGUUCAAGGAAUGGUACUUUGAGAUAAAAUGUAGUGUUUGACAUCUAAAUAUACAGCUCUUGUGACACCCACGUCGGUUCUCAAAUGAAAUCCUUCUCUUCAGUUCUCUGGCACAUAAACUUUUACCUGGAUUGGGCUGAGAACCCCCCACCGACCCUCCCUCCUUCCCUCUGUAAGCUCUACCCUAUAAAAGCAGAGCCAUCUCUCCGCUCUGCAGUAGAACAACUGAUCACUACAACCUUCAAAACCUCCACUGCACUGAGGAAGAACACCCAGACACAGCAGCAAUGGGAGCUAGUGGUUCAAUCAACGUCAACAGCGAUGCGCAAGGUUGUAAUAUAGCCAACGCAACAGGUGGCAAAGUGCGUCUCUACUACAAGUCAGAGAAGAUGGCUCUCAGUGACCUCAUCGAGGGGAGUCAUCUCAAGAAGGGCGACUCCAUGCUCAUCCUGGAAGGCACCGUUAAGAAGAGCGUUCUCCCGCAUAACCUCUAUGUCACUGGCUUCCAAGUAGAAAGUGACAAUUUACAUAGUUGCCCUAAGGAAUCCCCACUGAAUGGGCUGAACAACCUCCUGGCAGAGUAUGCUGAGGGUCAACACAAGUCCUACAUCCUCACUGCUGACAAAGGGGUCAAGUUCGCCAAGACCGGAGAGAUCUGGGUGGAUGAGGACGGGGUGGAUCACAACCCCAAAAAGUAA
This 1199-nucleotide long non-coding RNA is filed under the name Salmo trutta (river trout). Its description in RNAcentral is "lncRNA (ENSSTUG00000049466.1)". Lineage: Eukaryota; Metazoa; Chordata; Actinopteri; Salmoniformes; Salmonidae. The record is from RNAcentral.